This 839-nucleotide ribosomal RNA is filed under the name Bacillus sp. JE4. RNAcentral's name for it is "bacterial SSU rRNA". It matches the Rfam family "Bacterial small subunit ribosomal RNA", at positions 93 to 917 of the family's 1533-position model. Lineage: Bacteria; Bacillati; Bacillota; Bacilli; Caryophanales; Bacillaceae. The record is from RNAcentral.
UUUUGGCGGACGGGUGAGUAACACGUGGGUAACCUGCCUGUAAGACUGGGAUAACUCCGGGAAACCGGAGCUAAUACCGGAUAGUUCCUUGAACCGCAUGGUUCAAGGAUGAAAGACGGUUUCGGCUGUCACUUACAGAUGGACCCGCGGCGCAUUAGCUAGUUGGUGGGGUAAUGGCUCACCAAGGCGACGAUGCGUAGCCGACCUGAGAGGGUGAUCGGCCACACUGGGACUGAGACACGGCCCAGACUCCUACGGGAGGCAGCAGUAGGGAAUCUUCCGCAAUGGACGAAAGUCUGACGGAGCAACGCCGCGUGAGUGAUGAAGGUUUUCGGAUCGUAAAGCUCUGUUGUUAGGGAAGAACAAGUGCGAGAGUAACUGCUCGCACCUUGACGGUACCUAACCAGAAAGCCACGGCUAACUACGUGCCAGCAGCCGCGGUAAUACGUAGGUGGCAAGCGUUGUCCGGAAUUAUUGGGCGUAAAGGGCUCGCAGGCGGUUUCUUAAGUCUGAUGUGAAAGCCCCCGGCUCAACCGGGGAGGGUCAUUGGAAACUGGGAAACUUGAGUGCAGAAGAGGAGAGUGGAAUUCCACGUGUAGCGGUGAAAUGCGUAGAGAUGUGGAGGAACACCAGUGGCGAAGGCGACUCUCUGGUCUGUAACUGACGCUGAGGAGCGAAAGCGUGGGGAGCGAACAGGAUUAGAUACCCUGGUAGUCCACGCCGUAAACGAUGAGUGCUAAGUGUUAGGGGGUUUCCGCCCCUUAGUGCUGCAGCUAACGCAUUAAGCACUCCGCCUGGGGAGUACGGUCGCAAGACUGAAACUCAAGGAAAUUUGAACG